UACGAAGGGGGCUAGCGUUGUUCGGAAUUACUGGGCGUAAAGGGCGCGCAGGCGGCCCUCCAAGUCAGGCGUGAAAGCCCCGGGCUCAACCCGGGAAUAGCGCUUGAGACUGGGGGGCUUGAGUUCGGGAGAGGAGAGUGGAAUUCCCAGUGUAGAGGUGAAAUUCGUAGAUAUUGGGAAGAACACCGGUGGCGAAGGCGGCUCUCUGGGCCGACACUGACGCUGAGGCGCGAAAGCGUGGGGAGCAAACAGG
RNAcentral lists this ribosomal RNA (253 nucleotides) under uncultured bacterium. RNAcentral's name for it is "partial 16S ribosomal RNA". It matches the Rfam family "Bacterial small subunit ribosomal RNA", at positions 524 to 776 of the family's 1533-position model. The record is from RNAcentral.